CCUACGGGAGGCUGCAGUGGGGGAUAUUGCACAAUGGAGGAAACUCUGAUGCAGCGACGCCGCGUGAGUGAAGAAGUAUUUCGGUAUGUAAAGCUCUAUCAGCAGGGAAGAAAGACCUCGCAAGAGGGGAUGACGGUACCUGAAUAAGAAGCCCCGGCUAACUACGUGCCAGCAGCCGCGGUAAUACGUAGGGGGCAAGCGUUAUCCGGAUUUACUGGGUGUAAAGGGAGCGCAGACGGAAUGACAAGUCUGGAGUGAAAGCCCGCGGCUCAACC
RNAcentral lists this ribosomal RNA (275 nucleotides) under uncultured Butyrivibrio sp. Its description in RNAcentral is "partial 16S ribosomal RNA". It matches the Rfam family "Bacterial small subunit ribosomal RNA", at positions 338 to 614 of the family's 1533-position model. The record is from RNAcentral. Lineage: Bacteria; Bacillati; Bacillota; Clostridia; Lachnospirales; Lachnospiraceae.